Long non-coding RNA from Brassica napus (rape), 627 nucleotides. RefSeq lists it as uncharacterized. The transcript is spliced from 2 exons. NCBI's taxonomy places the organism in Eukaryota, Viridiplantae, Streptophyta, Magnoliopsida, Brassicales, Brassicaceae. The record is from RefSeq and is a predicted model, not a curated record.
GGCGUCGAACCCGGAAGCAUGACAAUUAGCCCCCAAGGCUCUAACCAGUAGAGCUGACUCAUCCCGGCAAACAAGAUUGUUUAGGUGUUUCACAUGUCGGAGGCAACUUCGGUUCCGCUUCGUCGGUAGUUUUCUUCGUUGGGCGACUUUUUUUGUUGUGUAUCUUUAAGCUAAUCAGAGUUUUUCGUCGUAUCUUCAUUUUCUAUCUUCGAUUUGCAUGAAUCACUUCUUCCCGUUUUAAUGAUCGAUGAUCAUUUGGAGCUCAAAUUAGAAAACUGGCGAGCAUUGCAUGUGGGUUUCAAGACGGAUUUGACGACAAAGCUUCAUGCGUCAUCUCCAAAUAGACGAUCAGAGGGAUGAUCGGAAAGUUGAACGGAGCGCACUGGUGAGCAGAACUGGAUGGAUGACUAGGGAAACAUCUCAGCCCCCCAGUGACCUUUCUUAGCACAUGUAACGUUUGUAUUACAGUUAUCUUUAAGGUUUGUAUUGGGCUCUUAGACCAUCUCCGUUUGUAUUCUAAUGAUUAGUUUAAUUGUAAAUUUUGUAAUUUGUGAAGUUUAGAACCUUUUGUAACGUAAUUAAAUUUGUGAAGGUCCAAUGAUAAAACUCCUUUGAAGUUUUUAAAAA